This is a long non-coding RNA of Thalassophryne amazonica, 726 nucleotides long. RefSeq lists it as uncharacterized. The record is from RefSeq and is a predicted model, not a curated record. Lineage: Eukaryota; Metazoa; Chordata; Actinopteri; Batrachoidiformes; Batrachoididae. The transcript has 4 exons.
AAUAACAGAUGAGUAAAUCAUAACAGAGACAGUAAAUAAUUGCAAUAUGCUAACCAAUAUGUUAAUUUUUUGUUUUCUUUUAAGGCUAGAGUGCAGGUCACAGAACCAGGCUCCCAGCCAGUAAUGCUCUCUGUACAGUCUAUGGAACCACACUAACCAAUCACUGACAUACAAGAAACAUCCUUAAAUAUACCAAACAAGCAGUGUCCAAUGAAGCCCAAAUUCAACAUCUUCAAUAUUCCCUGGCAUCACUGACAGGAAAUUCAAUUCAUGGGACAAAAGUGAAGAUGACAUAUUUAUCUGGGGGAAUUCCAUAGUGAAUAUUAGGGCUGAACGAUUUUGUAAAAUAAUCUAAUUGCGAUUUUUCUCCUCAAUAUUGCGAUUGCGAUUUAAUAUGCGAUUAUUUUUCCCCUUCUUAUGCAUUAAAAAACCACACACACGCACACACAACAGAAUUAAUGAAUCUGUUUCAUAAUAAACAAUAUAUUUUUUUAAAGUGCAAACAACACAAUGCAACACAACAACAAUGCAAACAAACUGACUUUACUUGUUCAACUUUAGUUUUAUGUAAGCCUAUGUAGGUCUACUCUUUUUAAACACUGAACUAUAAACACUGAACCUUAUAGAUUUAUAACAAUCUAUAAAUAAAUACAAUUACAGGUAUAAAACAAAUAAACCUUACUGAUCUCUACGUGGUGUUGCCUCGUGAGGUAGCAACUGUAGCAA